GUAGUCCACGCCCUAAACGAUGUCGACUGGUUGUUGGGGGUUUGACACUCUCAGUAACGAAGCUAACGCGUGAAGUCGACCGCCUGGGGAGUACGGCCGCAAGGUUAAAACUCAAAGGAAUUGACGGGGACCCGCACAAGCGGUGGAUUAUGUGGAUUAAUUCGAUGCAACGCGAAAAACCUUACCUACCCUUGACAUGUCCGAAAGCCUGAAGAGAUUUGGGUGUGCCCGAAAGGGAAUCGGAACACAGGUGCUGCAUGGCUGUCGUCAGCUCGUGUCGUGAGAUGUUGGGUUAAGUCCCGCAACGAGCGCAACCCUUGUCAUUAGUUGCUACAUUCAGUUGGGCACUCUAAUGAGACUGCCGGUGACAAACCGGAGGAAGGUGGGGAUGACGUCAAGUCCUCAUGGCCCUUAUGGGUAGGGCUUCACACGUAAUACAAUGGCGCGUACAGAGGGUUGCCAAGGAGCGAUCUGGAGCCAAUCCCGCAAAGCGCGUCGUAGUCCGGAUUGGAGUCUGCAACUCGACUCCAUGAAGUCGGAGUCGCUAGUAAUCGCGGAUCAGUAUGUCGCGGUGAAUACGUUCCCGGGUCUUGUACACACCGCCCGUCACACCAUGGGAGUGGGUUUCACCAGAAGCCGGUCGCUUAACCCGCAAGGGAUGGCGCCGACCACGGUGAGAUUCAUGACUGGGGUG
RNAcentral lists this ribosomal RNA (694 nucleotides) under uncultured bacterium. RNAcentral's name for it is "bacterial SSU rRNA". It matches the Rfam family "Bacterial small subunit ribosomal RNA", at positions 790 to 1482 of the family's 1533-position model. The record is from RNAcentral.